UAAACAGCAGAAACCCAAAAAAAACUACAAAUAUUUGUUUGCUCUUCCACGAGAUACAACAAAGUAGUAGUUGUAGUAGUAGUAAGAAACUAAGAAAGAUCACAGUCACAAGGCGGCAGUUGUUAUUCUCACGUAGAAGUGGCAGUAAAAUAAAAAUCCAGAUAUAAUAAAAACAAAACGAAAAAUAAGCAAAUAAAACGAUGGGAAAAUACACAUACAUCCAAGAAUAGAAAACACCAACUGAUGUACACAUGGAACCGAAGAGUAAAAGAUGUUGCUGAGUUAUUAAGAAAACAACCCGCAAGGCAGGCUGGCUGACAAACUGAACGUCCAACGAAGUAAGUAACCAACCAACCAACCCAACCAGCCAUCAAUGAAGGAAAUAUUUUUUAAAUGCAAACAA
Lucilia cuprina (Australian sheep blowfly) is the source of this 403-nucleotide long non-coding RNA. RefSeq lists it as uncharacterized. The transcript is spliced from 2 exons. NCBI's taxonomy places the organism in Eukaryota, Metazoa, Arthropoda, Insecta, Diptera, Calliphoridae. The record is from RefSeq and is a predicted model, not a curated record.